CGGAUCCCAUCAGAACUCCGCAGUUAAGCCUGCUAGGGCGUGAGUAGUACUAGGAUGGGUGACCUCCUUGGAAGUCCUCGUUUUGCACCCC
This 91-nucleotide ribosomal RNA is filed under the name Salmonella enterica subsp. enterica serovar London. Lineage: Bacteria; Pseudomonadati; Pseudomonadota; Gammaproteobacteria; Enterobacterales; Enterobacteriaceae. The record is from RNAcentral.